This 72-nucleotide transfer RNA is filed under the name Camelus bactrianus (Bactrian camel). It matches the Rfam family "tRNA". From Rfam's summary of the family: Transfer RNA (tRNA) molecules are approximately 80 nucleotides in length. Their secondary structure includes four short double-helical elements and three loops (D, anti-codon, and T loops). Further hydrogen bonds mediate the characteristic L-shaped molecular structure. tRNAs have two regions of fundamental functional importance: the anti-codon, which is responsible for specific mRNA codon recognition, and the 3' end, to which the tRNAs corresponding amino acid is attached (by aminoacyl-tRNA synthetases). tRNAs cope with the degeneracy of the genetic code in two manners: having more than one tRNA (with a specific anti-codon) for a particular amino acid; and 'wobble' base-pairing, i.e. permitting non-standard base-pairing at the 3rd anti-codon position. Lineage: Eukaryota; Metazoa; Chordata; Mammalia; Artiodactyla; Camelidae. RNAcentral also lists the same sequence under 2 other names. The record is from Rfam by way of RNAcentral.
GUGGGUAUAGCUUAGUGGUAGAGCACAUGCUUAGCAUGCAGUAGGUCCUGGGUUCAAUCCUCAGUAUCUCCA